Molecule: long non-coding RNA, 103 nt
Organism: Hippocampus comes (tiger tail seahorse)
Lineage: Eukaryota; Metazoa; Chordata; Actinopteri; Syngnathiformes; Syngnathidae
Exons: 3
Source: RefSeq, a predicted model, not a curated record
ACAACACAAGAAAGAAGCCUUGUAAAUCAACUCUAUACUCAGCAUAAAGAAGGCCACUGACAAUCAACAGUCACAAACAACCGUGGCAUUUUAUUUCCAAAAA